UUCGUGAUCUUCGCGGUGACUCUAACUGGAGUGAUUGAGAUCUUGCUCUUCAAGAACAGAAUGGUAAAGUAAAACUAGAUUUCCAUUUUAUUUCAAC
RNAcentral lists this non-coding RNA (97 nucleotides) under Moneuplotes crassus. Lineage: Eukaryota; Ciliophora; Spirotrichea; Euplotida; Euplotidae. The record is from RNAcentral.